This 135-nucleotide ribosomal RNA is filed under the name Chinchilla lanigera (long-tailed chinchilla). The record is from RNAcentral. Lineage: Eukaryota; Metazoa; Chordata; Mammalia; Rodentia; Chinchillidae.
GUGUACAGCCAUACCACCCUGAAUGCGUCCAAUCUCGUCUGAUCUCGGAAGCUAAGCAGGGUUGGGCCUGGUUAGUACUUGGAUGGGAAAAGACAGAGUCUUGGGCAACCCAGUCGGGAACCCCUUCUGUCCCUC